UUGCACGCUGGCGGCAGGCCUAACCCCUGCCAGUCGAACGGUAACAGGAAGAAGCUUGCUUCUUUGCUGACGAGUGGCGGACGGGUGAGUAAUGUCUGGGAAACUGCCUGAUGGAGGGGGAUAACUACUGGAAACGGUAGCUAAUACCGCAUAACGUCGCAAGACCAAAGAGGGGGACCUUCGGGCCUCUUGCCAUCGGAUGUGCCCAGAUGGGAUUAGCUAGUAGGUGGGGUAACGGCUCACCUAGGCGACGAUCCCUAGCUGGUCUGAGAGGAUGACCAGCCACACUGGAACUGAGACACGGUCCAGACUCCUACGGGAGGCAGCAGUGGGGAAUAUUGCACAAUGGGCGCAAGCCUGAUGCAGCCAUGCCGCGUGUAUGAAGAAGGCCUUCGGGUUGUAAAGUACUUUCAGCGGGGAGGAAGGGAGUAAAGUUAAUACCUUUACUCAUUGACGUUACCCGCAGAAGAAGCACCGGCUAACUCCGUG
This 489-nucleotide ribosomal RNA is filed under the name uncultured bacterium. RNAcentral describes it as "partial 16S ribosomal RNA". It matches the Rfam family "Bacterial small subunit ribosomal RNA", at positions 30 to 507 of the family's 1533-position model. The record is from RNAcentral.